GACCAAGAAUGAGUGCCCAUUGUCUCACAUCUUUUACACAGUAUGUUUGUUUUGUUCCGUCGUCUGCCGACAACGAUGCUACACAACAAACUGCAGUACAAAAUUGAAAAGCAGCGAAAUGCAGCGACAGUAGCAGCCUUGCGUAUUUGUUUAUUUUUUUUGUUUCGUCAUGUCACCUUUUUCUCAGCAGAUCCUCUUCAUCAGCAGGAUGAAGAGGUGACUGUAUGGGAAAUGUUUAAACGCGCACACCACACACACACACGCACACACAAACACAUACACCUUUAUUUUGGCUUCAGUUGAAAAUUUUGAGUAAUCUAAAACUUCGAAGGCUGAUUUGAUUGUUUUGGGCUUGGCUGACUGACUGCUAGCUGACCGGCUAUUGAUUGUGUUGCAUUGUUGCUUUCGUUGCGGAUUGACGGCCGCCGUCAAACAGAUGGGUGCAUCAGAGUUUAUCUUCAUCAUCAUCUUCUUCUUCUUCUUUCAACAGCAGAUCGAUCCCUUGUCGUCGUCAGUAUUGUUGUUUUAAUAUCGAAAAAGUUUUUUCUCUUCACGUUUUCUUCAUUUGUUUUUUAUCUGUCAUAUUUAUUAACUUUUUCCCAAUUUGUCCUGACAUAUAUUUGCUCUUUUUUCUUCUUCUCUGUAGAAGCUUCUGCUAUGCUGUUGUUGUUUACAGAAUUUUUGUUUUUUACAUUUCUCUAGCACAACGAAGAACGAAGUAUAACCGACAGUUUCAGUCAAUCACCAGUUGAAAAUGUGCAUGUUUUACGGUUCAUUUUUGAUACUGAUCCCAGAUGUGUUCAUUUAUUUAUUUUCUAUUAUUGUUCAUAUAUUAUGGUUGGUUAUAUACCGUUGUUUUUUUUCUUUCUCUCUCUCUCUCUCUCUCACUAACUCUCACACUCUCCGCUAUUGUCCUCCCGUUCGACUGUUGUUGUGGCAUUGAUUAUAUGAUGUUGUUGAAGAAAAUGACUUCAGCGGUCUUUCGGUGAUUUAUUGCAAGCAUUCUAGAUUGAUAUGCUUUAAGAAUAUCCAGUAUUAUUACCGAAGCCGGUGAACCGUUUCUGUAAUAGGUAAAAUUUAACUGGAGUGCCGAGAUUAGUGUCCGAGUUGUUUGAUUGCCUUUCUGAAUGAUGCUUUCUUUUGUAUUUUUCCUGAAACAUUUCUAACUCAGACUGAUGAUGAGGCGAUGAGUCGUGCAUCGCAAAGUGAAAAGCCUCCGAUUCCAUUACGCAUAUUCCAAAAAGAGUUUUGAGCGUGAGCUCGCUCGGAGCCGCUGUUGGUGCAGAUCUUGGUGGUAGUAGCAAAUAUUCAAGUGAGAACCUUGAAGACUGAAGUGGGGCAAGGUUCCAUGUGAACAGCAGUUGGACAUGGGUCAGUCGAUCCUAAGAAAACGGCGAAAGCUUGUUCGAAUUUGCGACAUGAAUUGUAAGACUGUGUGUUUAUUGUGUGUGUGCAGUUGUCGUAUGUUUUCGAAAGGGAAUCCGGUUGAUAUUCCGGAACCGAGUAACGGAGACAAAGAGUAGCGCUUUAAUCUCUCUGUGGGGUUGGCGUUCAACUCAAUCGCGCGGUAACGCAAGCGAACUCGGAAAAUGACCGUCGUGAGUUUCGAAAAGAGUUUUCUUUUCUUUUUAAGGGACGCAUUCCCUGGAACCGGGUUGUCCGGAGAUAGGGAUUCUGGUAUCCAUAAAACGCCGACUUUUUCACGGUGUUCGGAGCGCUCUCGUCGGUACGUGAAAAUCCGAGCGACGCCUGGUAAACCUCGUCCUUGGUCGUACUGAUAUCCGCAGCAGGUCUCCAAGGUGAAUAGCCUCUGGCCGAUAGAAUAAUGUAGGUAAGGGAAGUCGGCAAAACGGAUCCGUAACUUCGGAACAAGGAUUGGCUCUAAGGGCUGGGCCGAUCGGGCUGAGGUUUCAAGCGUGCAGUGUAUGCUUGGCUGAGUUGUGUUGAGGACUUGUUCACUUGCCGCCGUUUGUUCGGUUGGUCUAGUGUAUUCGAGUCUGAAGCAGAGCUGGCCGACAGACCGGCACGUGCAGAACCUGAGCUGCGCGGCUGUCCGUUUACGUGUACAGACCGUUUCGGUCGGCAUUCAACAGCCAACUUAGAACUGGCACGGACACAAGGAAUCUGACUGUAUAAUUAAAACAAAGCAUUGCGAUGGCCGAUGAUCGGUGAUGACGCAAUGUGAUUUCUGCCCAGUGCUCUGAAUGUCAAAGUGAAGAAAUUCAAUCAAGCGCGGGUAAACGGCGGGAGUAACUAUGACUCUCUUAAGGUAGCCAAAUGCCUCGUCAUCUAAUUAGUGACGCGUAUGAAUGGAUCAACAAGAUUCCUUCUGUCCCUAUCUACUAUCUAGCGAAACCACAGCCAAGGGAACGGGCUUGGCGAAAUCAGCGGGGAAAGAAGACCCUGUUGAGCUUGACUCUAGUCUGACUCUGUGAAGAGACAUGAAAGGUGUAGCAUAGGUGGGAGAUUGUCAAAUUGCCAUCGUUCGCGCGGUGGUCCGGUGAUCGCCAAUGAAAUACCACUACUUUGAUCGUUUCUUUACUUAUUCGGUAAAGCGAAAAAAUUGUGGCCAAUUUGGCGGUGUUUAUGUCGCUGUUGGUCAUUGUUUUCAUGUUAGAUUGAAGCUUUGUUUACAGCCGUCGCUUUGUGUCGCCAUUUGACGCAUUGUUGUACUGGGUUAUCCCGGUGUGUGGUGUAGUCAGUAUGGAUGAUCGGCGAUAGGUUUGAAGUGAUUCGCUCCGGAAACAGUGUCAGACGGGGAGUUUGACUGGGGCGGUACAUCUGUUAAACGAUAACGCAGGUGUCCUAAGGUAAGCUCAGCGAGGACAGAAACCUCGCUUAGAGUAAACGGGCACAAGCUUACUUGAUUUUGAUUUCCAGUACGAAUAGAAACCGCGAAAGCGUGGCCUAUCGAUCCUUUUGAUUGUGUAGAUUUCAUGCAAGAGGUGUCAGAAAAGUUACCACAGGGAUAACUGGCUUGUGGCAGCCAAGCGUCCAUAGCGACGUUGCUUUUUGAUCCUUCGAUGUCGGCUCUUCCUAUCAUUGCGAAGCAGAAUUCGCCAAGCGUUGGAUUGUUCACCCACUGAUAGGGAACGUGAGCUGGGAUUAGACCGUCGUGAGACAGGUUAGUUUUACCCUACUGAUGACAAGUCGUUGCGAUAGUAAUCCUGCUCAGUACGAGAGGAACCGCGGGAUCAGACAUUUGGUUCAUGCGCUCGGCUGAAAGGCCGGUGGCGCGAAGCUAGCAUCUGCAAGAUUAUGACUGAACGCCUCUAAGUCAGAAUCUUUUCUAGUCAUUGGCAACGAUAAGUUGCGUCCAGACUCGAUGCGAGGAAACGAUUAGGCUUUGCUAUACGGCGAAGCCAUUAUCAGACCACGGUAGCAGGCAGUAUGGGAUUGUUACGAAAAAGCAAUUUUUUGAAGUCAGUUGAAUUCAAUCAAACUGCUAACAAUUCCACUGCGAAUGACUCCAUUCGAAUCAAU
Molecule: ribosomal RNA, 3483 nt
Filed under: Trichinella murrelli
Lineage: Eukaryota; Metazoa; Nematoda; Enoplea; Trichinellida; Trichinellidae
Description: eukaryotic LSU rRNA
Rfam family: Eukaryotic large subunit ribosomal RNA (bases 688-3483)
Source: RNAcentral